GAGUUUGAUCCUGGCUCAGGAUGAACGCUGGCGGUAUGCUUAACACAUGCAAGUCGAACGGGGUACUUCGGUACCUAGUGGCGGACGGGUGAGUAACGCGUGGGAAUCUGGCCUCAGGUCCGGGACAACCAUUGGAAACGGUGGCUAAUACCGGAUGUGCCUUUAGGUGGAAGAUUAAUUGCCUGAGGAUGAGCUCGCGUCUGAUUAGCUAGUUGGUGGGGUAAGAGCCUACCAAGGCGACGAUCAGUAACUGGUCUGAGUGGAUGACCAGUCACACUGGGACUGAGACACGGCCCAGACUCCUACGGGAGGCAGCAGUGGGGAAUUUUCCGCAAUGGGCGAAAGCCUGACGGAGCAAUACCGCGUGAGGGAGGAAGGCUCUUGGGUUGUAAACCUCUUUUCUCAGGGAAGAAUAAUGACGGUACCUGAGGAAUAAGCAUCGGCUAACUCCGUGCCAGCAGCCGCGGUAAUACGGAGGAUGCAAGCGUUAUCCGGAAUUAUUGGGCGUAAAGCGUCUGUAGGUGGAUAUUCAAGUCUGCUGUCAAAUCCCGGGGCUUAACCCUGGAAAGGCGGUGGAAACUGAAAAUCUAGAGUGCGGUAGGGGCAGAGGGAAUUCCCAGUGUAGCGGUGAAAUGCGUAGAGAUUGGGAAGAACACCGGUGGCGAAAGCGCUCUGCUGGGCCUGCACUGACACUGAGGGACGAAAGCUAGGGGAGCGAAUGGGAUUAGAUACCCCAGUAGUCCUAGCCGUAAACGAUGGAUACUAGGCGUAGCUUGUAUCGACCCAAGCUGUGCCGUAGCUAACGCGUUAAGUAUC
RNAcentral lists this ribosomal RNA (816 nucleotides) under uncultured bacterium. Its description in RNAcentral is "bacterial SSU rRNA". It matches the Rfam family "Bacterial small subunit ribosomal RNA", at positions 9 to 868 of the family's 1533-position model. The record is from RNAcentral.